Molecule: ribosomal RNA, 433 nt
Filed under: uncultured bacterium
Lineage: Bacteria
Description: partial 16S ribosomal RNA
Rfam family: Bacterial small subunit ribosomal RNA
Source: RNAcentral
AACGAACGCUGGCGGCAUGCCUAACACAUGCAAGUCGAACGAGACCUUCGGGUCUAGUGGCGCACGGGUGCGUAACGCGUGGGAACCUGCCCUUAUGUUUGGAAUAACUCCCCGAAAGGGGUGCUAAUACCGGAUAAUGUCUUCGGACCAAAGAUUUAUCGCCUUUGGAUGGGCCCGCGUUGGAUUAGCUAGUUGGUAGGGUAAGAGCCGACCAAGGCGACGAUCCAUAGCUGGUCUGAGAGGAUGAUCAGCCACACUGGGACUGAGACACGGCCCAGACUCCUACGGGAGGCAGCAGUGGGGAAUAUUGGACAAUGGGCGAAAGCCUGAUCCAGCAAUGCCGCGUGAGUGAUGAAGGCCUUAGGGUUGUAAAGCUCUUUUACCCGGGAUGAUAAUGACAGUACCGGGAGAAUAAGCUCCGGCUAACUCCGUG